UGUUAGGUUUGUAUGAGCAUGUUGGAUNNNNNNNUGCGCAUCGACAAUGUCUCGUGCAUUCCAUUUCAGUUGUUGCCUCAAGUUUUACUUGGUCGUUGUGUGUUUCCUGUGCUAAAUACCUAACAUGAAGGCAUUCCAUUUGAUGUGGACACUAUAUCCACCUUUUGAUGCCCCCCAAGAGGAGUGCGUUUUGUUGGUGGACCUCAAAUCAUGCAUUGUGGUUCACAUCCUUUGCCUGCCUGUUCAUGCUUUGGUUGUUGACCCAUGAUGUUGUGUUUGAUCUCUUGGAUAUUGAAAAUUGUGAGGGAAUGGGUCUUUGGCCUUUAAUGACCCCAAAUUAGGCGUUCGACGCUAUAAGCGAACGACUGUCGUGUCUGUGUUGGACGAGUCCUUUGGACUUGGCUCAUACGGCACCCAUGUCGGYGAGGAA
Molecule: unclassified non-coding RNA, 430 nt
Filed under: Aphyllon uniflorum var. uniflorum
Lineage: Eukaryota; Viridiplantae; Streptophyta; Magnoliopsida; Lamiales; Orobanchaceae
Description: partial external transcribed spacer
Source: RNAcentral